Molecule: ribosomal RNA, 253 nt
Filed under: uncultured bacterium
Lineage: Bacteria
Description: partial 16S ribosomal RNA
Rfam family: Bacterial small subunit ribosomal RNA
Source: RNAcentral
UACGUAGGGGGCUAGCGUUGUCCGGAAUCAUUGGGCGUAAAGCGCGUGUAGGCGGUCCGGUAAGUCCGCUGUGAAAGUCGGGGGCUCAACCCUCGAAAGCCGGUGGAAACUGUCGGGCUAGAGUGCGGAAGAGGCGAGUGGAAUUCCUGGUGUAGCGGUGAAAUGCGCAGAUAUCAGGAAGAACACCCGUGGCUAAGGCGGUUCUCUAGUACGGUACUGACGCUGAGACGCGAAAGCGUGGGGAGCGAACAGG